Cordylochernes scorpioides is the source of this 72-nucleotide non-coding RNA. The record is from the annotation of a GenBank genome assembly. Lineage: Eukaryota; Metazoa; Arthropoda; Arachnida; Pseudoscorpiones; Chernetidae.
GUGUCCAGGGGCGGGAAUCGAACCCACAACCUUCUGCUUACCGGGCAGGUGCCAUGUCCACUAGGACAUGUA